GCGGGGUGAGGAGGGGCAUGCGGCACUUCGGGCCUCGUCCUCGCGGUGCUGCGCUGAAAUGAAUCCCCAUUCAUUUCCAGUCUCAUCGAAAUGAAUGCUUCUAGGUGUUAUUUUAGGGCCAGUUCUACAGAAAGGGCGAAGACGUGCCUGCGGGAGGGGAGCCUUGAGCUGCAGCGUGGGCACCGACCCGCUGAGCUGGGGCUGAAGGACCAAGAGCAGAACUGACGACUCGUGGCUCGGCCUAACGUUUGUCGGCAGGUUGAUGCGUUGCCAUUCUCACUCAACAGACGCUUGUGAGGAAGGCCUGUUAGCAAGUCAAAUGCUUGAUCUUUGCUGUUCUGCUCUUUGCUGAAGGCAGGGCUACGCGUGGCUGAGCAGUCUGCAACAGAACAGGGAGAAGAGGACACAAAAUUGUGCUUACAAGAAUCAAAACAUGAAGAAUCUUGCUGAGAACAACACUGAGAAUGAACAACAUUUAACAAGACAACUGAAAUCUUUGGAAACUGUUUACACAGCCUUAAAGCACAAAAAGCUGCUUGAGAGCAUUCUGCUGGCCUUUAGUGGUGCUGUGUCAGAAGUUUUGGUCUGAGUAUUCUUCAACCUUUCCAGGUCAACACUGUUGAGUUUAAGAGGUCUAGGCUGCUUUUUGAAAGAUGCCGUGAAACCUGCAGCUUCGAUUUGGCAUUUGAUCUCUUCUGCUGUAAUUAGAUGAGGCUGAUACACAACAACAGCUUCCUGAUUGUCCAAGGACACUGAAAAUUAAACAAUAAAAAGGAGCGUGCAUUACUGCCCUAAGCAUAACAAGCAUUUUUCUGUAAGAGCAAUAGAUGUCAUCAAGGGUUACAAAAAAUGCUUCAAAUGUUCAGAAA
Lagopus leucura (white-tailed ptarmigan) is the source of this 869-nucleotide long non-coding RNA. RefSeq lists it as uncharacterized. NCBI's taxonomy places the organism in Eukaryota, Metazoa, Chordata, Aves, Galliformes, Phasianidae. The transcript has 3 exons. The record is from RefSeq and is a predicted model, not a curated record.